Molecule: ribosomal RNA, 1477 nt
Filed under: metagenome
Description: bacterial SSU rRNA
Rfam family: Bacterial small subunit ribosomal RNA
Source: RNAcentral
AGAGUUUGAUCCUGGCUCAGGACGAACGCUGGCGGCACGCUUAACACAUGCAAGUCGAACGAGAGAAGAGGAGCUUGCUUUUCUGAUCUAGUGGCGGACGGGUGAGUAACACGUGAGCAAUCUGCCUUUCAGAGGGGGAUACCGAUUGGAAACGAUCGUUAAUACCGCAUAACAUAAUUGAACCGCAUGAUUUGAUUAUCAAAGAUUUAUCGCUGAAAGAUGAGCUCGCGUCUGAUUAGCUAGUUGGUAAGGUAACGGCUUACCAAGGCGACGACCAGUAGCCGGACUGAGAGGUUGAUCGGCCACAUUGGGACUGAGACACGGCCCAGACUCCUACGGGAGGCAGCAGUGGGGAAUAUUGCACAAUGGAGGAAACUCUGAUGCAGCGAUGCCGCGUGAGGGAAGAAGGUUUUAGGAUUGUAAACCUCUGUCUUCAGGGACGAAAAAAGACGGUACCUGAGGAGGAAGCUCCGGCUAACUACGUGCCAGCAGCCGCGGUAAUACGUAGGGAGCGAGCGUUGUCCGGAAUUACUGGGUGUAAAGGGAGCGUAGGCGGGAUCGCAAGUCAGAUGUGAAAACUAUGGGCUUAACCCAUAAACUGCAUUUGAAACUGUGGUUCUUGAGUGAAGUAGAGGUAAGCGGAAUUCCUAGUGUAGCGGUGAAAUGCGUAGAUAUUAGGAGGAACAUCAGUGGCGAAGGCGGCUUACUGGGCUUUAACUGACGCUGAGGCUCGAAAGCGUGGGGAGCAAACAGGAUUAGAUACCCUGGUAGUCCACGCCGUAAACGAUGAUUACUAGGUGUGGGGGGACUGACCCCUUCCGUGCCGCAGCAAACGCAAUAAGUAAUCCACCUGGGGAGUACGACCGCAAGGUUGAAACUCAAAGGAAUUGACGGGGGCCCGCACAAGCAGUGGAGUAUGUGGAUUAAUUCGAAGCAACGCGAAGAACCUUACCAGGUCUUGACAUCGUAUGCAUAGCUCAGAGAUGAGUGAAAUCUCUUCGGAGACAUAUAGACAGGUGGUGCAUGGUUGUCGUCAGCUCGUGACGUGAGAUGUUGGGUUAAGUCCCGCAACGAGCACAACCCCUAUUACCAGUUACCAGCGAGUAAAGUCGGGGACUCUGGUGAGACUGCCGGGGACAACUCGGAGGAAGGUGGGGACGACGUCAAAUCAUCAUGCCCCUUACGUCUUGGGCUACACACGUGCUACAAUGGCUGCAACAAAGGGAAGCGACAUCGUAAGAUGAAGCGGAUCUCAUAAAAACAGUCCCAGUUCGGAUUGUGGGCUGCAACCCGCCCACACGAAGUCGGAGUUGCUAGUAAUCGCGGAUCAGAAUGCCGCGGUGAAUACGUUCCCGGGCCUUGUACACACCGCCCGUCACACCAUGGGAGUUGGGAGUGCCCGAAGUCAGUAUCCUAACCGCAAGGAGGGAGCUGCCUAAGGCAAGACCAAUGACUGGGGUGAAGUCGUAACAAGGUA